Chlorocebus sabaeus (green monkey) is the source of this 3921-nucleotide non-coding RNA. The record is from RefSeq and is a predicted model, not a curated record. NCBI's taxonomy places the organism in Eukaryota, Metazoa, Chordata, Mammalia, Primates, Cercopithecidae.
UGUCAUUAUUCCCUAAAGAAUACAGUAUAACAAUUAUUUACGUAACAUUUACAUUGUAUUAGAUAUUAUAAAUAGUCUAGAGAUUUUAAAGUAUACUGAAGUAUGUGCACAGGUUGUAUGCAAAUAGUAUAUCAGGAACAUGAGUAUUUGCAGAUUUUGGUAUGUGUGGGAGGUUCUGGAACUAGUACUGCAUAGAUACCAAAGGAUGAUUGUGUAGUCACAGAUUACAUGACCUUGCAUAUUAAAAAUCCCAAGGAAUUAAUAAAAAACUAUUAGAACUAAUAAAUGAGCUCAGGUCAGUUGCAGAAUAGAAGAUCAAUAUAUAAAAAUCAGUUGUAUUUCUAUACACAGACAAAGAACAAUCCAAAAAUGAAAUUAAAAAAAUUUCAUUAACAAUAGCAUAACAAAUUUUUAGGAAUAAACUUAACAAAAAGUGUAAAAUGUAUACACUGAGAAAUAUAAAACAUUAUUGAACGAAAUUAAGGAAACACCUAAAUAAAUGGAAAGAUAUCUUAUAGAGGACUUCAUAUUUUUAAUAUGGCAAUACUCCUUAAUUGAUCUGUAUGUUCAGUGCAAUUCCUACUGAAAUCCUAGCUGUCUUUAUUGCAGAAAUUGACAAGUUAAUCAUAAAUUUAUAUGAAAGCAAAGGGACUUAGCAUAGCUAAAACAGUCUUGAAAAAGAACAAAGUUUGAAGACUAUGCUUCCUAAUUUCAAAAUUUAUUACAAAACUACAGUAAUCAAGACAAUGUAGUACUAACUUAAGGAUGAAUAUACAGAUUAAUGGAAAGGAAUUGACAGUCUCAAUAUAAUUUCUCACAUUGAUGGUAAUUGAUUUUUGAUCAGGGUGCCAAGACAAUUCAUGGGCAAAGAAUAGUCUUUUUAAAUAAUAGUGCUGGGACAACUGGAUAUCCACAUGUAAAAUAAUGAAGUAAGACAUCUACUUCACACUAUAUACAAAAAAAAAAAAAAAGCUUACAGUGGAUCAUAGGCCUAUAUAUAAGAGCUAAACUUAUUAAAACUCCAAGAAGAAACACAAGUCUUUGUGUACUUAGAUUAGGCAGUGGUUUCUUAGAUAUGACACCAAAAGCUCAAGUGACAAGAAAAAUAGUUAAGUUAGACUUUAUCAAAGUUAAAAACAUUUGUGCGUCAAAGAACACUAUCAAAAAUGUGAAAAGACAACCCACAAAAUGGAAGAAAAUGUUUGGGAAUCUCAUAUCUGAUAACUGUCUUUAUUAUCUCCAGAAUAUAAAAGAAUUCUUACAGCUCAACAAUACAACUUAAUCUAAAAAGUAGGCAAGGGACUUGAAUAGACAUUUUUCCAAAUAAGACAUACAAAUGGCCAAUAAGCAUGUAAAAAGAUGCCCAACAGGCGGGCCCCAGAGCGGGCUCAGGGGAGCGUGGCAUGCCAGGCGCCUCCCGCCCGCCCGGAACAUAUGGAGGCUGGCCCAGGCGGCGCAGGAGCUGGAGCAGGGCCCGAGUGGGCGUCCGAGCCGGAGCGGAAGUGGGAGAGGGGCUGGAGCGGGGGUCCGCGCCGCGCUGCUGAAGCCUGGCCGGCCGCCCAGACACUGCCUGCGGCCCGGCCAUGGCAGAGCCAAGGAAAGGAUCUCUAUACAAACAAAUACGUGGCUGUCAAAUUGGAGCUGAUGAAGUCCGGGGCCCCACAGCUGCACCUGGGGUACUGGUUCUACAAGCGGCUCAGCGCCACUGAGGGCGCCCCUCAGGUCUACUACCUACUACUUCGGCCUGUGCUGGAAGUACAACGCUGUGGUGCUGGAGCUGCUGGGGCCCAGCCUGAAGGACCUGUUCAACCUUCACGCUGAAGACGGUGCUCCGGAUCGCCAUCCAGCUGAUCGCACGCAUGGAGUAUGUGCACACCAAGAGCCUCAUUUACCAGGACGUGAAGUCCGAGAACUUCGUGGUGUGGCGCCCGGGGACCAAGUGGCAGCUCGCCAUCCACAUUAUCAACUUCGGGCUGGCCAAGGGGUACAUUGGCCUUGAGACCAAGAAGCACAUGCCGUACUGUGAGCACAAGAGCUUGACAGGCAGGGCGCGCUACAUGAACGUCAACAUGCAGCUGGGCAAGGAGCAGAGCCACUGCAGUGACCUGGAGGUGCUGGGCCACAUGUUCAUGUACUUCCUGUGCUGCAGCCUCCCCUGGCAGGGGCUCAAGGCCGACGCGAUCAUGAGCGGUAUAGAAUAUCGGGAACACCAAGCGCACCACGCCCAUCGAAGUGCUCUGCUAGAACUUUCCAGAGGAGAUGGCCACAUACCUGCACUACGUGCGGCGCCUGGACUUCGAGAAACCCUACUGUGACUACCUGUGGACCUCUCCAUCGACCUCUUUGACCGAAGCGGCUUCGUGUUCGACUUUUGAGUACCACUGGCCCAGGAAGCCCUUGGCGACCCCCAUCGGCACCGUCCACACCGACCAACCCUCCCAGCCUCAGCUUUGGGACAAAGAUCAGCCACACAGCAAAAACCAGGUGCUGACCUCCACUAAUGGGGAGCUGAAUGUGGACGACCCCACGGCCGGCCAGUCCCGCGCCUAUGACGGCGCCUGCAGAGAUGGAGGUGGGCGAUGAAACCAAAUGCUGCUGUUUAUUCCCCUUGAAUCUUCUCCGUGCAGCCCCUUGGGGCAUGAGCUUGUGUGAGGCCCUUGGGGCCCACCGACAGCAGCCCAGGGCCAGACUCUGGCUGGAAGCCGGGACGCAGACUUAAGGGGCCGCGCCUGUCUCGGCCGGCGACCCCAUCCCCUAGACGAGGGGUCACUUCCUUCACAUAAAACUGGCCAAAGUUUCUACACCUGUGUCUAGUCCGCCCCUCCAAGAGCAUUAACUAUUUAAAACAAGGAAAAAAGUGGGAGGGAAAACCCCUUCUACCCCCAACCCUGCCCCUCCAUUUCUUUGCUGAAGUGAGUAGUGCGAUCCUGGAGGCCCUCAGGGCUGAGGCCGGCCCCAGCCCCAGCCCCGCCAUCCGCCCCCGUUAGCUUCAUAAAGUCUAGCUUCUCUCCCUCGAUCCAAAGGCCGUUUUCUGGAGGGGAGGGCAGGCCUGGCCUGGAGUGGUGCUGUGGGGCCAUCUUGCCCACGCCCACCUGGGAGGUACACAGGCAUUGCUGCCAGGGGUGAGGCUGUGCCCCAGGCUUCCCCAAAACUAAAGGGGAAGGGAGGGGUGGGGCCGCGGCUGAAGCCAGCUCCGCCCCCAAAAUGCUGCACCAAAGCUCAGGCGCCGCAGUCACGGCCACUGCAGCCUGGUCCCGGCGAGGGGCAGGUGGGCCCUGCUAGGAGGGUGCUUCUCGAGGCACCUGUUCCCGGAGGCUGUGCUCCGACCCUCAGAACCUGAGGGGGGUGGGCCGGCUGGCGUCGCCCUGCUCGGCCCCUGGGCUCUGCUGCAUGGGGCCGCGCGGGCAGGGGGCUUCCUGUCUCUGUGCUCUGCCACCCGGCAAGCAGCCGCAGACGAAAUGCCUUAAAGCCCCCGGCUCAGCCCCGCAGGUGUAUGUGCAGGGGCCUGGGGGCGGCUCUGGACUGGCUGGCGGUCCCCCAGUGGGUCAGCUUGAGGCCGUGCCCAGGGCGGUGGCCGUGAAUCUGGUUUUUGCUUUACCAAGUGUACAGAAAUGGCAUUUACGUUUCUCUGAUGCUCUUUUGAAGCCAUACAACUUAGGGGCUUUUUUAAAAAAAAAAGAAAAGAAAAAUGACCCCCCCCCAAAAAAGGUGCCCAACAUCGUUGGUCAUUAGAGAAAAGCCAAUCAAACCCACAAUGGGAUAAUAAUAGAUCUACAAGGAUGGCAAAAAUCAGAAAGACAAAAAUAACAAGUGUUAGAGGAUUUGGACUAGUUUGGAAGCCAUAUAUUGCUGUUGGGAAUGUAGAGUGGUGCUGCUACUUUGGAAAACAGUUUGGCCGUUCCUCAAAAGGAUAAACAGAGU